GCCAGUUUAGCUGUGAAAGAAUGAAAUCUGUAUCUUUUUCCUGUGAAGGAAAGGGAGGAUGAGUAAGCUGAAGAUUGUGGUCUAUCCUUGCUGUAUACAACCAUAACCCUGGAAAAAACAUUUUUCUUUCAUUCUGCCUUCCCAAAACGAGGACUUAGAACCCAGCACACAGUGAAAGGCAAGUAGAAGGACUCUGCUUAAAUAAGAGGAAGCUGAGAGGUCUGUUCUGCUAAGUGAAGCUGGAAAUGCCUUAUCUAAUUCAGUUUCUGAGAAGAGCAAGUUGAGAUAUUGUCAGCAAAUAAUUUCUUUUCAUUCCAUUUCCCCCUGUUUUUAUUAAACUUUCUUUUUGUUAAGAUUACUAUUGUAUGGGUUAUUUCAUGAAGACCAUUCAAGAAGAAGAGAAACCUAAGAAGUGCAGAAGAUUAACGAAUCUCCAGAACCUAUACCCUACCCAAUGGACCCAUGUUAUGCCCCAUACAUUUUGAUUGCUUCUCCUUUGUCACUUGGGGAAGCAAACAUGACUGCUAGCUUUUAAUUUGGAGAAAAGGGAAGUGUCAGUAUUUGAUCUGUUUGACUUUCAUUAUGCACAGUCACAGAUGGAAUGGAAAUGAUGAGCAGACAAGUUCAUAAAAAUGAUUGUACGGGAAAUUACAGCUGGAACAAGUUACCACAUCUCUAUGGAUCCCACAUCUACAGUCUUACUUUAUAAGAGCAUAAAUACGUGAAUCAGAGCCAAUGAAACAGUUUUUGUUGCUUAGUCCUUUAAGAAAAUACAAGACCCUGGAAAAUACUGUAGCGUUUCUUGAAAGUUUAAGAAUAAAUAUCUUGAAUAGGAAGUUGGUCUAACUUUCUUUUGUUCUACCUAGAGCCACAAAAUUAUCAAAGGGUUGGGCGAUAAAGUAAUUUACUGUAUGCUUAUUACAAAAUCAUGAUGUGUUUGGCCAACUUCAUCUUAAAGCUAUUUUAAAAUUGAUUCUGCAUUUAUACUUCUUUUAAAAUGCAUGAAAUAGAAUGGCAAAUCUAU
Molecule: long non-coding RNA, 1024 nt
Organism: Alligator mississippiensis (American alligator)
Lineage: Eukaryota; Metazoa; Chordata; Crocodylia; Alligatoridae
Exons: 3
Source: RefSeq, a predicted model, not a curated record